AAUCAACGCUGGCGGCGUGCCUCAGACAUGCAAGUCGAACGAUUAAAGCUCUCUUCGGAGAGUGCAUAGAGUGGCGCACGGGUGAGUAACACGUAAGUAAUCUGCCUUUGAGUGGGGAAUAACAGUCGGAAACGAUUGCUAAUACCGCAUAACGCAGCGGCACCGCAAGGUGACAGUUGUUAAAGGAGCAAUCCGCUUAAAGAGGAGCUUGCGGCAGAUUAGCUUGUUGGUAAGGUAACGGCUUACCAAGGCUACGAUCUGUAUCCGGUCUAAGAGGACGGUCGGACACACUGACACUGAAUAACGGGUCAGACUCCUACGGGAGGCAGCAGUCGGGAAUUUUGGGC
This 347-nucleotide ribosomal RNA is filed under the name uncultured bacterium. RNAcentral describes it as "bacterial SSU rRNA". It matches the Rfam family "Bacterial small subunit ribosomal RNA", at positions 32 to 369 of the family's 1533-position model. The record is from RNAcentral.